This 482-nucleotide ribosomal RNA is filed under the name uncultured bacterium. RNAcentral's name for it is "partial 16S ribosomal RNA". It matches the Rfam family "Bacterial small subunit ribosomal RNA", at positions 30 to 507 of the family's 1533-position model. The record is from RNAcentral.
AUUGAACGCUGGCGGCAUGCCUUACACAUGCAAGUCGAACGGUAACAGGUCUUCGGAUGCUGACGAGUGGCGAACGGGUGAGUAAUGCAUCGGAACGUGCCCGAUCGUGGGGGAUAACGAAGCGAAAGCUUUGCUAAUACCGCAUACGAUCUACGGAUGAAAGCAGGGGACCGCAAGGCCUUGCGCGAACGGAGCGGCCGAUGGCAGAUUAGGUAGUUGGUGGGAUAAAAGCUUACCAAGCCGACGAUCUGUAGCUGGUCUGAGAGGACGACCAGCCACACUGGGACUGAGACACGGCCCAGACUCCUACGGGAGGCAGCAGUGGGGAAUUUUGGACAAUGGGCGAAAGCCUGAUCCAGCCAUGCCGCGUGCAGGAUGAAGGCCUUCGGGUUGUAAACUGCUUUUGUACGGAACGAAAAGACUCUGGUUAAUACCUGGGGUCCAUGACGGUACCGUAAGAAUAAGCACCGGCUAACUACGUG